Molecule: ribosomal RNA, 254 nt
Filed under: uncultured bacterium
Lineage: Bacteria
Description: partial 16S ribosomal RNA
Rfam family: Bacterial small subunit ribosomal RNA
Source: RNAcentral
UACGGAGGGUGCAAGCGUUAUCCGGAUUCACUGGGUUUAAAGGGUGCGUAGGCGGGUUGGUAAGUCAGUGGUGAAAUCUUCAAGCUUAACUUGGAAACUGCCGUUGAUACUAUCAAUCUUGAAUAUUGUGGAGGUAAGCGGAAUAUGUCAUGUAGCGGUGAAAUGCUUAGAUAUGACAUAGAACACCGAUAGCGAAGGCAGCUUGCUACACAAUCAUUGACGCUGAUGCACGAAAGCGUGGGGAUCAAACAGGA